Molecule: ribosomal RNA, 407 nt
Filed under: uncultured bacterium
Lineage: Bacteria
Description: partial 16S ribosomal RNA
Rfam family: Bacterial small subunit ribosomal RNA
Source: RNAcentral
UGGGGAAUAUUGCACAAUGGGCGGAAGCCUGAUGCAGCAACGCCGCGUGCGGGAUGACGGCCUUCGGGUUGUAAACCGCUUUCACCUGUGACGAAGCGUGAGUGACGGUAAUGGGUAAAGAAGCACCGGCUAACUACGUGCCAGCAGCCGCGGUGCUACGUAGGGGGCGAGCGUUGUCCGGAUUUAUUGGGCGGAAAGGGCUCGUAGGUGGUUGAUCGCGUCGGAAGUGUAAUCUUGGGGCUUAACCCUGGGCGUGCUUUCGAUACGGGUUGACUUGAGGAAGGUAGGGGAGAAUGGAAUUCCUGGUGGGGCGGUGGAAUGCGCAGAUAUCAGGAGGAACACCAGUGGCGAAGGCGGUUCUCUGGGCCUUUCCUGACGCUGAGGAGCGAAAGCGUGGGGAGCGAACA